Molecule: long non-coding RNA, 588 nt
Filed under: Phasianus colchicus (ring-necked pheasant)
Lineage: Eukaryota; Metazoa; Chordata; Aves; Galliformes; Phasianidae
Description: lncRNA (ENSPCLG00000011226.1)
Source: RNAcentral
UAAAAAUGAGGGCAAAUAUUCCCCCCCAAUUAGAGUUAUUAGAAAGUAGUAAAAAUGUAUUUUUACCAAAAGAGAGUGUGGCCAAAGAAGUCUUAAUGUAAGCUUACGAUUUCAUAAGUUGCUGCAGCCCUGGUAUUCCACCUCUGAUGUGCAGCAAAUGCAGCAGACCUCACUCCAGGUGCCCAGUGCAGCCGUGGUUCAGCACAUCGGGUUAAAAGAAGGUAGUCAUCAAGAGAAGCAAGCAAAAUGGAAAGGUGUGUGACUUCUAUCAGGGAAUUUGGAGCCUAUUUCAAGUUAUUGCAUCCUCAAGAGAAAGUUAAUUCGUAUGGUUUCACUGGAACUCUGUGGAUAUCUUCUGCUCUGGGUGACUCGCCAGCCGUACAUAUAGGUCUCUUAUAUGAACUGUUUGGAAUGGAGAACACUUUGCCAUCAGCACAAGAACGGAUGCUAGUUCCUUUGUUUAGCCCUUGCUGGAAAUUUUUUUGGACAGAUGCAGUCCAUGAGGGCCUGAUUUCCACAAACAGCUCUACGUUCUGCCAUCAGCUUAUUUCCCUCCCAUACAAAAUUGGCUUUGUGUUUGUGUUUUAA